CCACUUCGCUUACCGAGGGAUAUACCACGCCCAGAAGGCAAGCUACAAUGGACUCUCAAGGUCAAGAUCAGGAGACCCUAAGCACUUUCGGUGGGCGAUCUUUGCUCUCCUUCCAAGGUGCUGAAUGGUACCAAAAGGCCAUUUCAGCCUUCGGAUGAAGAGACACGCUGAAAUAGACCUUCAAACUCAACCUUUUCCCUUUACAAUUUGCUUGGGCCAUCGUCUCGGGCGGGGCGAUAUGAUCGGGCCUUUUGUUCCUACAAAAAAACGUUGAGAAAUAGUGAAUAAUUUGCCUGGAGUAGGGGGCCUAGUAUUGUUGUUGCUGUUUGACUUUAUCAUAUUCUUGACUUGUUAGUGUGCCCAAUCCUGGUGUGAAAGGGGGGAGAUGGAUAUAAAGAAAGAAAGGUUGUGUGUGCAAGGCAUCCUUGAAAAGGAGAGGCAGGGAGUGAAAGCUUCCUCAGAAAUGCUCAUUUGGCGUCGUCAUCAUCAUAUGAAAAAAUGGCCGUCUCCAUCGACGUUUUAGUCGGCUUAUAUUGCUCUACGUGUCGUGUGACGGCCUUUUGCUUUGAUGUGGAAAUGCUCUUUAAUUCGCGCACGCAUAUUUUGUGCUUCCUUAUCUCCCCCAUUUGACUGAAUGGUUAUCAGUUGAUCCAUGGACCCCGGGCAAUCAUUGUCUUGGUCCUAUUUUAAGAUCUGAGCUGAAUUACAUUGACAC
This 715-nucleotide long non-coding RNA is filed under the name Triticum aestivum (bread wheat). RNAcentral describes it as "long non-coding RNA (TAES_LNC013917)". The record is from RNAcentral. Lineage: Eukaryota; Viridiplantae; Streptophyta; Magnoliopsida; Poales; Poaceae.